UUCAAACGAGAGUUUGAUCCUGGCUCAGAAUCAACGCUGGCGGCGUGCCUAACACAUGCAAGUCGAACGAGAAAGUGGAGCAAUCCAUGAGUAAAGUGGCGACCGGGUGAGUAACACGUGACUAACCUGCCUUCGAGUGGGGGAUAACCUAGGGAAACCUGGGCUAAUACCGCAUAACAUCCUCGUGACGAAACGCCUGAGGAUCAAAGGAGCAAUUCGCUUGAAGAGGGGGUCGCGGCUGAUUAGCUAGUUGGUGAGGUAACGGCCCACCAAGGCU
RNAcentral lists this ribosomal RNA (277 nucleotides) under Acidobacteriota bacterium. Its description in RNAcentral is "Acidobacteria bacterium partial 16S ribosomal RNA". It matches the Rfam family "Bacterial small subunit ribosomal RNA", at positions 1 to 275 of the family's 1533-position model. The record is from RNAcentral. Lineage: Bacteria; Pseudomonadati; Acidobacteriota.